GACGAACGCUGGCGGCGUGCUUAACACAUGCAUUUCGAACGGAAAGGCCCUGCUUUUGUGGGGUGCUCGAGUGGCGAACGGGUGAGUAACACGUGAGUAACCUGCCCUUGACUUUGGGAUAACUUCAGGAAACUGGGGCUAAUACCGGAUAGGAGCUCCUGCUGCAUGGUGGGGGUUGGAAAGUUCCGGCGGUUGGGGAUGGACUCGCGGCUUAUCAGCUUGUUGGUGGGGUAGUGGCUUACCAAGGCUUUGACGGGUAGCCGGCCUGAGAGGGUGACCGGCCACAUUGGGACUGAGAUACGGCCCAGACUCCUACGGGAGGCAGCAGUGGGGAAUAUUGCACAAUGGGCGGAAGCCUGAUGCAGCAACGCCGCGUGCGGGAUGACGGCCUUCGGGUUGUAAACCGCUUUCGCCUGUGACGAAGCGUGAGUGACGGUAAUGGGUAAAGAAGCACCGGCUAACUACGUGCCAGCAGCCGCGGUGAUACGUAGGGUGCGAGCGUUGUCCGGAUUUAUUGGGCGUAAAGGGCUCGUAGGUGGUUGAUCGCGUCGGAAGUGUAAUCUUGGGGCUUAACCCUGAGCGUGCUUUCGAUACGGGUUGACUUGAGGAAGGUAGGGGAGAAUGGAAUUCCUGGUGGAGCGGUGGAAUGCGCAGAUAUCAGGAGGAACACCAGUGGCGAAGGCGGUUCUCUGGGCCUUUCCUGACGCUGAGGAGCGAAAGCGUGGGGAGCGAACAGGCUUAGAUACCCUGGUAGUCCACGCUGUAAACGGUGGGUACUAGGUGUGGGGUCCAUUCCACGGGUUCCGUGCCGUAGCUAACGCUUUAAGUACCCCGCCUGGGGAGUACGGCCGCAAGGCUAAAACUCAAAGGAAUUGACGGGGCCCCGCACAAGCGGCGGAGCAUGCGGAUUAAUUCGAUGCAACGCGUAGAACCUUACCUGGGUUUGACAUGGAUCGGGAGUGCUCAGAGAUGGGUGUGCCUCUUUUGGGGUCGGUUCACAGGUGGUGCAUGGCUGUCGUCAGCUCGUGUCGUGAGAUGUUGGGUUAAGUCCCGCAACGAGCGCAACCCUUGUUCACUGUUGCCAGCACGUUAUGGUGGGGACUCAGUGGAGACCGCCGGGGUCAACUCGGAGGAAGGUGGGGAUGACGUCAAGUCACCAUGCCCCUUAUGUCCAGGGCUUCACGCAUGCUACAAUGGCUGGUACAGAGAGUGGCGAGCCUGUGAGGGUGAGCGAAUCUCGGAAAGCCGGUCUCAGUUCGGAUUGGGGUCUGCAACUCGACCUCAUGAAGUCGGAGUCGCUAGUAAUCGCAGAUCAGCAACGCUGCGGUGAAUACGUUCCCGGGGCU
RNAcentral lists this ribosomal RNA (1346 nucleotides) under uncultured bacterium. RNAcentral's name for it is "partial 16S ribosomal RNA". It matches the Rfam family "Bacterial small subunit ribosomal RNA", at positions 28 to 1381 of the family's 1533-position model. The record is from RNAcentral.